This 300-nucleotide ribosomal RNA is filed under the name uncultured Lactobacillus sp. RNAcentral describes it as "bacterial SSU rRNA". It matches the Rfam family "Bacterial small subunit ribosomal RNA", at positions 495 to 795 of the family's 1533-position model. The record is from RNAcentral. Lineage: Bacteria; Bacillati; Bacillota; Bacilli; Lactobacillales; Lactobacillaceae.
GGGAAUUGCGGUGCAGCAGGGCGGGUAUACCGGUGGGGGCAAGCGUUAAUCGGAAUAACUGGGCGUAAAGCGCAGGCAGGCGGUUAGAUAAGUCAGUAGUGAAAUCCCCGGGCUCAACCUGGGAGCGGCAUUUGAAAAGGUCUGACUAGAGUCUUGUAGAGGGGGGUAGAAUUCCAGGUGUAGCGGUGAAAUGCGUAGAGAUCUGGAGGAAUACCGAUGGCGAAGGCAGCCAUCUGGCCUAAUACUGACACUGAGGUGCGAAAGCAUGGGGAGCAAACAGGAUUAGAUACCCCGGUAGUC